GAUAAGCGCUGAAAGCAUCUAAGCGCGAAGCUGGCCCCGAGAUGAGUCAUCCCUAGAGCUUCGAGCUCUCUAAAGGGUUGUCGUAGACGACGACGUUGAUAGGCAGGGUGUGUAAGCGCUGGAUAAGCGCUGAAAGCAUCUAAGCGCGAAGCUGGCCCCGAGAUGAGUCAUCCCUAGAGCUUCGAGCUCUCUAAAGGGUUGUCGUAGACGACGACGUUGAUAGGCAGGGUGUGUAAGCGCUGUGAGGCGUUGAGCUAACCUGUACUAAUUGCCCGUGCGGCUUAACCAUACAACACCCAAGCGGUU
This 306-nucleotide ribosomal RNA is filed under the name Salinivibrio sp. IB282. Its description in RNAcentral is "partial 23S ribosomal RNA". It matches the Rfam family "Bacterial large subunit ribosomal RNA", at positions 2669 to 2925 of the family's 2925-position model. The record is from RNAcentral. Lineage: Bacteria; Pseudomonadati; Pseudomonadota; Gammaproteobacteria; Vibrionales; Vibrionaceae.